UUCUCUCGGUCUGUUAUUAAUUUUUCUUAUCACAAAUUGGUUCGUGGUUCCAAUAAUAAGUUGACUUGAUGAAUGAUAGAUAAAAUCAACUCUAAAAUAAGUACUAGAUAUGCCUGAAAAAAUGAUUACACAGUCAAGUGCAGAAACAAAUUAUGAAGAUUCAAAGACAAAACUUGUUUGUUUUUUGUGAUUUGGAUUGACAACAACAUGAAAAGAUAAAGCUUAGGCUUGGUCGGUGAGUGUGUUAUGCUAUGCGUUGCCUAUCUCUUAUACUCCCACUUUUUUUCAGUCAAAAGACACCUCAAUAUAAAAAACCUACUAUUUGAUAACAUAUUUGGGUAAGUAACCAUUGAUGUCGUUGUUUGUUCUCUAGUGGUAGAAGCUCCGGAUAGUUAGAUACUUUUCUUCUUCAUCAUUAAGGAUGGCAAGAGAUGUCAAUGAGUAGGAAUAGGUAGCUUACGUAUCUAUAGUUACAUUUUAAUUAAAACAAAUUGAUAAAUAAUAAAAUAUUAUAUUAUUUGAUAUAAUUAAAAUUGUUUAAUAUUAAAUUAUAAAAAAUAUUUAUCUUAUUGAAAAUUAUAAACAUCUAAAUAUUAAAAACAAAAAUUUACAAAUCUGACAUCUUUCAAAACUUAUAUAAAAGUUAUAAAUUAUGUUUGUUUCGUGCUGAAACCACAAAUAAUUGAUGAUGGAGUGGAAAAUGAGCUCUCUGCUACAUUCGGUACGACAUAGUGGGGUGAAUCUAUAAAGUUAGCACUUCAACGUUCAAGUCAGUGGCUAAAAGAGAAAUAGUAUGAGUAUGAAAAUGGGUAGAAUACCCAAGUCUUGGUGCGUGAAGGGCUUCAUAUAGAUGAGCAGUUAGAACCGCUCCCGCUUGAUUAUAUGUUUCAUGCGAAUCUCUAUUGGAUUGGAUCUGACAGUAGGAAAUUUCCAGAAAGUUAGAGUUGUCUGCUCCGAGCUUGGGUGAUGUUGUACAUAUUCCUCUGUGUUUUCCUUCAUAGCGCUUGUUUUUGGGCCUUGACAUGUGGGUCUUGUGGAGGCCAAAAACAAUUGUCCUAAUGGCUUCAUUCAUGUUUGCUGGAAUGAGGAUUUUGUCGCAUGAGUUUCUAGUUUGGCCCUUGUUCGAAGGAUAUGAGAUAGUUGUGAGACUGGUAGCAUUGGGAACGUGCACAAUGAAUGUCUUCCUUUCAACUCGUAACACCUAACUAGAGGGUUGUCACGCGUGGUUCUACGAUUGUCAGUAAUGAUGCUCUUUUAUCUUAGGUUACUCAAGUGUUCAGGAGAGUUCAAUGCGAGAUCACAAUCAUUGGUCGUGUGGUCACAUUGUCCAAUGCAUGUUGUCGAGGAUUGAACAAUUACUUAUAUAUAUAUAUAUAUAUAUAUAUAUAUAUAUAUAUAUAUAUAUAUAGGCUUCUAGGUAGCAUUUCCUAUUUCCACCAUUUGCAAAACUCCAAGAGUUCUUUCUCUAUUCUCUACCAUUGCCCUAUGUAAUCGUCAAGAAUCUCCCAUUAGACAUUAGUUUGACGUCUUCACAUCAUCUUCUCAAGCUAACCUUGCUCACUCAUCAAAUUCAUCUCUUUCGAGGUAAGAAUUCAAAGUCUCUAUUUCUUAUGUACUUAUCUUGCCUUUGAGGGAAGUGGCUGCGAACGAUGGUGAAAGGGUAAUUGGUAGCCUCACUCCUAGGGAGAUUGCUGGAGGUUUUGCUUUUCUUGCCAUGCACUUGAUGAACCCCAUCGUUGUAGAUGAUUUUAAGCAGGAGUGUAAGGCUCAGACCUAUAUCAAGACGCGUCGUUGUGCUUUUGGUUGCAACCCCGCAUACUACAAGGUGAAAUGGUAGUUGGAAUCUCGAUCUUGUGCUUAUACUCAUGGGCGUUCUUUUUUUUGUGAGUUGGUGAUAAUUUUGAAAUCGACAACUCUGUUAUAGGAACACAUAAUAUGACAUGAGACAAUUCAGUUGUGUAGAUGGACCAAGAAACGUUGGAUGUUGCAUUCGUCUUUGUUUCUAAGGGUGGUAUGGACCACACUUUUACUGAGGUGGGUCCCUCUCCGAAUUGGAGGGUGCUUUCCACUAAAGGAGAUAAAAGGGUGUGUAGAAAAUAUGAGGGUGCAUCAUUCCUCUUCAUGAAUGUUUGUUUUCCUUGAUAGAUUUUUGCCUUUCUUUGAAUGACUUUGAGGUGGGUAUUCUGAAUGAUCUGGUGAUUGCCCCUCGCAUCUGCAUUUGGUAAGUUUGGGCUUAUGACAAAGUCUUCUAAUAUUGGUGUGAGUAUAAGAAAAAUAUGUCAACCUUAAUGCUCAUUUUCCAUCUUUUCGGUGUCAACGUCGUUCGGCUAUCUCCGUACAAGAUAAAAGCUUGCUCUCCCACAGGUAGAGUUAGAAGAUGUUCAAGGUCUACUCUGAUAGCAUGGAGAAUUUCAAAGACUGGUGCUACCUGGCUACUCCCCUUACUGAGAAUGCCCAUGCAAGUGUGUGCGAUAUGCAACCUGAGUGCUCUCCAAAUGAUGAGGCCUAUCUAAAGAGGAAAUUUGUAGCCUUCAAGGAAAAUUUAAGCUUUCUUGACGACGUCGCGCCUUCCUAGGGCGAGGUCAAAGAAAAAAAAGAAGUGGUACAUAAAGACAUACUUGGUAGUGGAUGACGCCACUAAAGAGGAGAGGUGUGUCAUCUUCGAUAAUAUGAAGUGUCACAAGACGAUGCUUCAAAUGAAAAAAAGGACGUUUAUGGUCAUUAGUUUUCUUUCAAAAAUCGUUUGUUCGGCUACGCAAAAAAUCCAAAUGUGGGACCCAUCGUUGAUCCGACCUCUUUAAAUCUUUCUACCCCGGCUAAGACGGAGGUACCAGGUUCUUAAAAUUGCGACCAGAGGUGCCUCACACUCGUUUUUGUGCGCAACAUGUGAUGAUUACUCUAGUGGGAUUUCCUUAUGCUUCUUAUGCUAGAGAGCAGAACGACAAAAGACAUGCGACGAGUGUGCCGAAUUUAAGAGGAUUUGGUCCCAAAGACUGUCCAACCUCUACCCCGAGUGCAUGGUCGUCGCUGCUUAUGGCUUGCCCUAAUCCUCCGAACAGCUAGAGAAUUUCAAUCUUUCUUUUUUAAAAAAAAGGCUAUGCUUUUUUUUAAAGCAAAA
Vicia villosa (hairy vetch) is the source of this 3118-nucleotide long non-coding RNA. RefSeq lists it as uncharacterized. The transcript is spliced from 3 exons. The record is from RefSeq and is a predicted model, not a curated record. NCBI's taxonomy places the organism in Eukaryota, Viridiplantae, Streptophyta, Magnoliopsida, Fabales, Fabaceae.